This 264-nucleotide long non-coding RNA is filed under the name Citrus sinensis (sweet orange). RNAcentral's name for it is "long non-coding RNA (CSIN_LNC005799)". Lineage: Eukaryota; Viridiplantae; Streptophyta; Magnoliopsida; Sapindales; Rutaceae. The record is from RNAcentral.
AUGACGACAAAUUACAAACUCUUAUGUAUCUCUAUUUAAUUAUCAGUAAUGCUACUUUGGCUGAAAAGAAGUGACUCAAAAUUCUGAAACUUCUAAUUUAAGUCAUUAACAAUUAUCAAAUCCUGAGGGAGUUAUGAGCUAAAAAUCUGAAUUAGCUGUUUAUGAUUCGAAACUUGCAUAGAGACUAUAAUUAACCAAAAUCUGUCUUGGUCUUUCUAUUUUUGCUUUCCUUUUUUUUAACCUGCUUUUCUCAUUUUCUUUUUU